This 468-nucleotide ribosomal RNA is filed under the name uncultured bacterium. RNAcentral's name for it is "partial 16S ribosomal RNA". It matches the Rfam family "Bacterial small subunit ribosomal RNA", at positions 28 to 507 of the family's 1533-position model. The record is from RNAcentral.
GACGAACGCUGGCGGCGUGCUUAACACAUGCAAGUCGAACGGAAAGGCCCUGCUUUUGUGGGGUGCUCGAGUGGCGAACGGGUGAGUAACACGUGAGUAACCUGCCCUUGACGUUGGGAUAACUUCAGGAAACUUGGGCUAAUACCGGAUAGGAGCUCCUGCUGCAUGGUGGGGGUUGGAAAGUUUCGGCGGUUGGGGAUGGACUCGCGGCUUAUCAGCUUGUUGGUGGGGUAGUGGCUUACCAAGGCUUUGACGGGUAGCCGGCCUGUGAGGGUGACCGGCCACAUUGGGACUGAGAUACGGACCAGAAUGCUACGGGAGGCAGCAGUGGGGAAUAUUGCACAAUGGGCGGAAGCAUGAUGCAGCAACGCCGCGUGCGGGAUGACGGCCUUCGGGUUGUAAACCGCUUUAGACUGUGACGAAGCGUGAGUGACGGUAAUGGGUAAAGAAGCACCGGCUAACUACGUG